CGUCCGUCCCAUUUUUAUUGUACAUUAUUACACAAUGCGCCGAUUCGCCAGCGCUUUCUAGGCACCGUGGUGAAAUUUUAUUGUGAAGAAAAGAAAUGUACCGAACCGACAUUUCUUAGAGCUUCAACCCUGUAAUCAUUACUGAUACUGAGGAUAGGUGCGACAUAUAAUCGCGAUGGUAUCAUUUCGUGUGCUAUGCGCAUUCUGCCUUGUCUCGGGCAUUAUCGCGCACAGUGCAUCCCCGACCUGCAAGUCUAGUGGCUAUCAGUGCAAGCUGAGAAUAUUUUGCCCGAUGGAAUACAGGGUAGACCUAAAAGGCUGCUGGUGGUGGAGCACGUGCUGCAAAAAAAAGAAAUUGGACACCUGUUCGUCAAUCCACGGGACCUGCCAAAGCGUCUCCAAGCGAUGCAGCGGACUUGUGCACUCGAAAAUGCCAUGUCCUGAAGGCCAGAGUUGCUGUGUCCCCGUUGUGCACUAGUGACCAUCGCGUCCUGUGACGAAUUUGCUCGGCAUGUCCCUCGCUGCCCUAUUUACUGAAUAUUUCAUUAAUAAAGCUUUCCAUAUUCAGUGAA
Molecule: long non-coding RNA, 572 nt
Organism: Dermacentor andersoni
Lineage: Eukaryota; Metazoa; Arthropoda; Arachnida; Ixodida; Ixodidae
Source: RefSeq, a predicted model, not a curated record